UUCUACAUGCGGCAGGUAGUUAAAUAGGCAACUUUUCAUUCUGUCAGUUGUGCCUUCUUUUGAUUGGGGAAAUAACAUUCUAAAUAGGUCGUCAAUGCAAACAGGAUGUUGUCGCCCUGGUGCUCCUGUUGCAAUUCGACGUGUUCCUGUGAACCGAUAAGAUCCCGGAGUCGUAGGGAAACAGCCGGAGACGUGAGUCAUUUGGUUGAGAACGAGGACCAACGCGAAAUUGUCGCGGACCGAACCAGGAUGAACCAGGACAUUGCACUUUUGAGAGAACAGUACAACUGCACUAAAGAGAAACAAAAGACCCGGGUGGUUUUAUUCAGACAAGCAUCAGCUGAUGACGCAACAGAGAUCAGUGGGAAAGCCCUGGUCAACAUGGUCCCGGUCAACCAGGAGAUGAAGAGCACACAUGAGAGGAAGAGGACGGUGUCAGGGGCUGAGAUUGAUUUUGUUAGGCACCUGGAGAUGACUCCAUGGUACACACACUUAGGAAUCCACCGACGGACCAACGGUAUCAUAGCACCUCAUCCGAACCACACAUUCACCGGUAGCAAUUCUGCGAGUUUGACUUCGCUCUCUGAGGACUGUCCUGAGACAUCCAGUGACAAAGGCUUGGGGAUUCUACUUCUUUCCAUUCUGAAGAGUUGAGUACCAGUAACAGCAUUUCAGGCUCCCAGAAGUUCUCAGCCCCAGUCGUUUUGUCCAGACAACUAUGUUUUGGGGGCCAGCAGCCACCUCAGUUCUCCUCCAGCCCCCUUCACCACUACCCCUUCCCCCAGCGAAAAGGGCCCAAGAAGUCAGAGGCUGCCAGGAGACUUGGGAUGUACACAUCAUUCUGAUUAGAGAGGGAGUCUGCUAUAGUGCAACAUGUGUUAUAUGUUUCUGCAUUAAAAACAUUAUUGUUGAGUUGCUGUAAGGACAUUUGCUAUGCAGCCAUUUCCAUGUUAAUGAUGUCAUGUAAGUUGCUGUGCCUGACCCUGUGUUGGACCCGUACGUUAACGUUUGAGUUUCAUCUCAUUGGAGCCUAAAUGUGUUUGUUUGAGAAGGAAAUAUAUUUUCCCCAGUGAGUCUGCAGGACUGUGCCAAUGAACAAAUGAGUGGAACACGACUGAUUACUCUCUGGUGUGCAUAGCCUAUUAUUGUCAUGCAGUAAGAUUAAUCCCAGCCAUCCAGAUGGAAUGUGCAGACAGUGUGAUGAUGCAGUGAUUUAAAUAUCUUUGUACAGUAUGCUACUUCAACAUGCAUAUUGAAUAUUAAAACAUCCCAUCAAAA
Oncorhynchus masou masou (cherry salmon) is the source of this 1278-nucleotide long non-coding RNA. RefSeq lists it as uncharacterized. The transcript is spliced from 2 exons. NCBI's taxonomy places the organism in Eukaryota, Metazoa, Chordata, Actinopteri, Salmoniformes, Salmonidae. The record is from RefSeq and is a predicted model, not a curated record.